CCUACGGGAGGCAGCAGUAGGGAAUCUUCCGCAAUGGACGAAAGUCUGACAGGGCAACGCCGCGUGAACGAUGAAGGCCUUCGGGUCGUAAAGUUCUGUUGUCAGGGAAGAACAAGUAUCGGAGUAACUGCCGGUACCUUGACGGUACCUGACCAGAAAGCCACGGCUAACUACGUGCCAGCAGCCGCGGUAAUACGUAGGUGGCAAGCGUUGUCCGGAAUUAUUGGGCGUAAAGCGCGCGCAGGCGGUUCCUUAAGUCUGAUGUGAAAGCCCCCGGCUCAACCGGGGAGGGUCAUUGGAAACUGGGGAACUUGAGUGCAGAAGAGGAGAGCGGAAUUCCACGUGUAGCGGUGAAAUGCGUAGAGAUGUGGAGGAACACCAGUGGCGAAGGCGGCUCUCUGGUCUGUAACUGACGCUGAGGCGCGAAAGCGUGGGGAGCGAACAGGAUUAGAUACCCUGGUAGUCCACGCCGUAAACGAUGAGUGCUAAGUGUUAGAGGGUUUCCGCCCUUUAGUGCUGCAGCAAACGCAUUAAGCACUCCGCCUGGGGAGUACGGCCGCAAGGCUGAAACUCAAAGGAAUUGACGG
Molecule: ribosomal RNA, 587 nt
Filed under: uncultured bacterium
Lineage: Bacteria
Description: bacterial SSU rRNA
Rfam family: Bacterial small subunit ribosomal RNA
Source: RNAcentral